GAUGAAGAACGCAGCGAAAUGCGAUAAGUAAUGCGAAUUGCAGAAUUCCGUGAGUCAUCGAAUCUUUGAACGCACAUUGCGCCCUUUGGCAUUCCGAAGGGCAUGCCUGUUCGAGCGUCAUUUAUCAACCCUCAAGCCCGGCUUGCGGUUGGGUCCCGCCGUGGGCGACCACGGCGGACCCGAAAGGUAAUGGCGGUGCCCGUGGGGCCCUGGACGCAGCGAGCUUCUCGGCACGCGUCCCGGCGGUCCCCGGCGCCGUCUCCACCAAUCCACCACGCAGAUUGACCUCGGAUCGGGUAGGGAUACCCGCUGAACUUAAGCAUAUCAAUAAGCGGAGGA
RNAcentral lists this unclassified non-coding RNA (339 nucleotides) under soil metagenome. RNAcentral's name for it is "partial contains 5.8S ribosomal RNA, internal transcribed spacer 2, and large subunit ribosomal RNA". The stretch from base 1 to 120 matches the Rfam family "5.8S ribosomal RNA", at positions 35 to 154 of the family's 154-position model. The record is from RNAcentral.